ACGAAGGGUGCAAGCGUUGUUCGGAUUUACUGGGCGUAAAGAGCGUGUAGGCGGCAUUGUCAGUCAGAUGUGAAAGCCCUCGGCUCAACCGAGGAAGUGCAUCUGAUACUGCAAAGCUUGAGUACCGGAGGGGGUGGCGGAAUUCCUGGUGUAGAGGUGAAAUUCGUAGAUAUCAGGAGGAACACCUGUGGCGAAGGCGGCCACCUGGAAGGUUACUGACGCUGAGACGCGAAAGCGUGGGGAGCAAACAGG
Molecule: ribosomal RNA, 252 nt
Filed under: uncultured bacterium
Lineage: Bacteria
Description: partial 16S ribosomal RNA
Rfam family: Bacterial small subunit ribosomal RNA
Source: RNAcentral